UCUGCGCUGCCCCGGCAGGCGCAGGCGGCACCUGCAAGUCUGCGGCGGCUGGCUGACCUGACACUUGGCAGGCUAAGCUCGCUGCCGAGGCCUCCCGGGCUCGGGGCGGUGGCUACGGGGCCGCCAGAAUACAGCAGAGAGCAACCGUCUUUGCAGUGUGUUUACAGGGACCUCUCAGAAUCUGGCAGUGUUCGGCCAAGGACCAGCAUCUUUGUCAGAAACGCUGUCCCCUAUACUGCCAGCGCGUCCGCAGCACCAGGCUGACCUGCGACUGUGGUGCAAACAAGCAUCAUGUCACCAAUGCAGAUGCCACCUGGGGCUGCAAGGGACGGGGCGCGGCUGCUGAGGAGCACGUGAGGCGCGUUCCGGCCAGGCCCAGCGCCUCUAGCUCAGCGUGCAGACUCGGGCUGCGUUAGGGUGAAACACCUUUUCAGGGACAGAAGUAGGACGUCUCUCUUUGUCGGCAGUCCGUGGAAGCCGUCCUAAGUCAGCCAGCUGUUGCGCUCACACGGACCUGGACACGCUCCCUCACUGGGUCGUGCUGGCCCCCCAGUCCUCCACCCGGUGGCCCUGCUGCUGUUGGAGAGGUGGCUCGUGUCUCUGGCUGUCCUAAAGCCGGGACUUUCGGGAGGGGAGGUUGUAGGCAGGAAGAGCUUUAGACCCCAGCUCCCAGCAUGGCCUGUCCUCACUGGGUGCGUGACACACCUUCCUGUCCCCUGCCCUCUCCUGUUGGCCUGUGUGAGGUCUCCACUCCAUCAGUGUGGUUGCCAGGAGUCGGAGGUUAGGACAGCACACAUUUCACGUGGCGCUCUGGACAGAAUCCGGUGUGUCGCCCUCCCCCACCCAUCCAUUUCAGCCUUAACCCUCAGUUUCUGUAUAUGGGGGUAGGGUCUACGGGAGCCAGGAGGGCCUGGGCAGAGUGUAGGCUGGGGCCCUAAUCCAACAGGCCUGAUGUCCCCCGAGAAGAGGAAAAGCCCCCGAGCUAUUGGCUUGCUCUUCCCAGGCACACACGGACCGAGGUGAUGGGGUGCAUAGUGUAACAGUAGCCAUCUGCAGGCCAGGAGAGCCGUGCCGGAAGGCAGCACCUGGGACCGGGGCUGCAGCCUCCAGAAUUGUGGGGAGGGAACCUCGUCUGCAGGACCUCCAAGGCCGCGUGUGGUUGCGGCAGCGCAUGCGCGCUGAUCAGGCCGGUCCCGCCAGGCCCCCUUAGCACAAGCCUCCUUGGGCACUGGCCUCUGAGUAUGCGGCCACCCUGAGUUGUGGGCUCCCGCCCAUGGGAAGCUUGGAGUGCACCUCCUUUCCUACAGCUUCUAAGGGCUUUUCACACCAUCUUUCUAAUCUCCGUUUAUUGCUUCUUUCCCUUUCUUUUGGGAAAAAAUAAAGACUCCUUGCUUCAGGAGGCUCUGUCCUGCCAAGCGGCUAAGCUGUGUGCUCUUCACGCAGCGGGUCCUAAUGUGAUACCCGAGGAGGUCACUGGCCACACCUGAGUGCCCAGAACCGAGGAGCGGGUGCCGGGACUGCUGAGCGUCGGGGCCCCAACCCUGCUCUGGUCCACACAGGAUCUGGACAGGUACACCUCCGUGUCCCGGCGCCAUGCCCCAAGC
This is a long non-coding RNA of Octodon degus (degu), 1604 nucleotides long. RefSeq lists it as uncharacterized. The transcript is spliced from 3 exons. NCBI's taxonomy places the organism in Eukaryota, Metazoa, Chordata, Mammalia, Rodentia, Octodontidae. The record is from RefSeq and is a predicted model, not a curated record.